AACGCACCUUGCGCCCUUUGGUAUUCCGAAGGGCAUGCCUGUUUGAGUGUCAUUAAAUUAUCAACCCCGAAGGGAUUUUUGUCCCUCUCGGUGGCUUGGACUUGGGGGUUCCUUUGCUGGCCUUCACUGGUCGGCUCCCCUUGAAUGCAUUAGUGGGAUCUCUUGUGGACCGUCACUUGGUGUGAUAAUUAUCUAUGCCGUUUGACUUUAAAGCAAAUUUAUGGGAACCUGCUUAUAACCGUCCUCUACCGGACAACAAUCUUAAUUGACAUUUUGACCUCAAAUCAGGUAGGACUACCCGCUGAACUUAA
RNAcentral lists this ribosomal RNA (311 nucleotides) under uncultured fungus. RNAcentral describes it as "eukaryotic LSU rRNA". The stretch from base 1 to 52 matches the Rfam family "5.8S ribosomal RNA", at positions 103 to 154 of the family's 154-position model. Lineage: Eukaryota; Fungi. The record is from RNAcentral.